Megalobrama amblycephala (Wuchang bream) is the source of this 466-nucleotide long non-coding RNA. RefSeq lists it as uncharacterized. The transcript is spliced from 2 exons. Lineage: Eukaryota; Metazoa; Chordata; Actinopteri; Cypriniformes; Xenocyprididae. The record is from RefSeq and is a predicted model, not a curated record.
CAAUAAAAUAAAGAUAUGAGUGACAGGUGCACUAACACCUCACAGCACCAGUAACUCCACAACCCUACCUAGUGCAGUUUUCCUCAGUGUUAGCAAUGUCUGAAGCCAAAGAAGACAUCAGCAGCUGCUCGAAGAUCUCACCUUUGGAAAAGACUCUUGAUUUUAUACUCAAAAAAUGUAUUUACAGUCCUGCUGCCAUCUCAACACAGCUGUGCUGAUUCUGCAGCUUUAUUCUGAUGAAGCAGCUGAUGAACACCUUCAUCAUCAUGUCCCUCACUGCUGCUCUUCUCAAUGGGGACAUCGUUGAUCCAGAGGAUGAGGAAGACCAUGAUGAUGGACCGCUGAACCCUUGAAGCAAGAGUGGGAGAAGAUGUGCGGGACAAUCUGGCUCUGCUGUGUCUGCUGCAAACAUUCAUGUGCUCUCCAUCAGCAUGACUGAAUAAACAGAUUAAAACUUUUUACACUU